CUUGAAUUUUGAGCUAGCUAAUACUGCUUCCAGAACAUCGCAGUCCAAUGGGAUAUGGUCUCAAGGCACACACUGGUGAAGACAGAAGAGAAGAUAGAGCAACUCUAUACAGAGUCAAGAGAUAGCCCUUAUCCACAAAAUAUUAUCUUCAUGGCAAGAUACAACCUGUACAGCAAUAGAUGGGAAGAAGCUUACUCCAGCAACCAGUUCUGCAAGUUUUUCAACGCUCUGCCUUUACCACAUACGGAUGUGUAAAUAGGAGCCAGAAAAUCACUCGUUAGACUGUAUUUAGAGGAAAUAUACCUCCUUCAAUCAGUCAGUAAGGCUGUUCCUAUAUUACUCCCAGAGACACUGUAUUCUGGCACAAAUAAAUGGUGGAAAUCAUUAAAACA
This 392-nucleotide long non-coding RNA is filed under the name Phasianus colchicus (ring-necked pheasant). Its description in RNAcentral is "lncRNA (ENSPCLG00000001036.1)". Lineage: Eukaryota; Metazoa; Chordata; Aves; Galliformes; Phasianidae. The record is from RNAcentral.